RNAcentral lists this small RNA (155 nucleotides) under Brevundimonas alba. RNAcentral describes it as "sRNA CC2171". It matches the Rfam family "caulobacter sRNA CC2171", at positions 1 to 138 of the family's 159-position model. Lineage: Bacteria; Pseudomonadati; Pseudomonadota; Alphaproteobacteria; Caulobacterales; Caulobacteraceae. The record is from RNAcentral.
CAACAACGAAAGGAGGUGGUCGAAUGUCUCAUUGUCUCACGCCGCGCGCGGCCCGUCGGAUGAGCCCGGCCUCCCCUCUGGCGGGGACUGUCGCCUGAAGACGUAGCCGCACGCCGGCUGACAAUGGAAGGGCCGCUCCUCUCGGGGGCGGCCCU